RNAcentral lists this ribosomal RNA (607 nucleotides) under Anguilla rostrata (American eel). Its description in RNAcentral is "partial 16S ribosomal RNA". It matches the Rfam family "Bacterial large subunit ribosomal RNA", at positions 1816 to 2608 of the family's 2925-position model. The record is from RNAcentral. Lineage: Eukaryota; Metazoa; Chordata; Actinopteri; Anguilliformes; Anguillidae.
CGCCUCUUGCUAACAAAGGAAGUACUAGAGGUCCCGCCUGCCCUGUGACCACAAAGUUUAACGGCCGCGGUAUCCUGACCGUGCGAAGGUAGCGUAAUCAUUUGUCUUUUAAAUAGAGACCUGUAUGAAUGGCAUAACGAGGGUUUAACUGUCUCCUUCCCCCAGUCAAUGAAAUUGAUCUGCCCGUGCAGAAGCGGACAUAAAUACAUAAGACGAGAAGACCCUAUGGAGCUUUAGACAAAAGAUCAAACAUGUAAAGAAACCAAAACAACCAAAAGGAACACGAAGGCCACAAAACCCAACGUAAACUGAUCUAAAUGUCUUCGGUUGGGGCGACCAUGGGGGAAAGAAAAGCCCCCACGAGGAACAGGGACAACCCCUAAACUAAGAGGGACACCUCUAAGCAACAGAAAAUCUGACCAAAAUGACCCAGGAUACUAAUCCUGAUCAACGAACCAAGUUACCCUAGGGAUAACAGCGCAAUCCUUUCCCAGAGUCCAUAUCGACGAAAGGGUUUACGACCUCGAUGUUGGAUCAGGACAUCCUAAUGGUGCAGCCGCUAUUAAGGGUUCGUUUGUUCAACGAUUAAUAGUCCUACGUGAUCUGA